GUUACGAAAGGCCGUAGCUUCUCUAUAAAUAUUACAACACACCAACUCAAAAACACUUUAAUCAGACAAGAAACCAAACCAAACUCAAAAACACUAUAAUCAGACAACAAAACCAAACCAUUAUCCCUCCUUUCUUCUCCGAUUAUAUCGAUGUUGUCCGAAGAAGACCGCUAAUGUCAAAACCUCCAACCUCCAACCUCCUUCCACUAAAACUCUCUCUCUGUUCAAUCCCGUUUCUGUGCAAUGGAGAAACCACCGGAAGAAAGAGCCGGUGGCCCAGAGACCAAACCGGUUUCGAAAUCGAUCAAAGCUCGUUUCCUGAAGAAAGGAUCAAGAUUCGGUGGUGGAGCUCCCGGUUUACAAGGCCGCCGCUGCUGAAGAAGUAAAGUCUCUCGAUUCAGAUCUGAUUUUUUGUUUUAGCGAAAGUCAUUGUCUGAUUUCUAAGAUCUGUGGUGAAUCAGGUGUUAAGAAGCUUGCUGCCGGAGACAACAAGAAGUCGACGAUCAUCCCCAGGCGCUUUUUUUUUUUUUUUUUUGCCGAUUAGGAACUAUGAGAGAGGGGAGAGAGAGGAGAGAGAGAGGGGAGAGAGAGAGAGAGAGAGGGGAGAGAGAGAGCGGGGAGAGAGAGGGGGGAGAGCGGGCCCCGGGGAGAGGCACCCGGGGAGAGCGGACGCCCGGCGGGGAGAGCGGGCGCUCGGCGGGGAGAGUUGUUUUAAAAUUUCUAAACACAUUUUAUAUUUGCAUUAAUGUAUAUUAAACCCGCUUUCACGGUACAUGGGGCAUCAGUUUAAUUUUUUGUCAAUUAAUUUAAUAUAACUUCCUAAUACUCCCUAAAUUUGUGGAAUUAAACACUAUAAAAUCGCUAUUUUUUAGAGAAACGGAGACAACAAAAGUUACAAACUUAUUUGACCCUCAUCAAAUGUGAGUGGAGGAUGAAACUAUGCAUUAAAACAUUAUUUUCAUAUUUUUGAAUUUCUCUCAAAAUCUAUGUGUUUCUACGAAAAUAUUGAAUUUUUUGGUAAAUGUUUUAUAUACUUAAGCAUAUGAUCUUUAUUGUUGUUUUAAAAAUUAUAAACAGAUUCUUCAUUUGUAUUAAUGUAUAUUAAUACUCCCUAAAUUGGUGGACUAACCACUAUAAAAUCGCUAUUUUCUAGAGAAACAGAGACAACAAAAUUUCCAAACCUCUUUGACCUUCAUCAUAUGUUAAUGAAUGAAGCAACUAUGCAUUAAAACAUUAUUUUCAUAUUUUUGAUUUUUUCUGAAAAUCUACGUGUUAACAACCCCUACGAAAAUAUUGAAUUUUUCGGUAAAUUCUGUACAUACUGAAAUCUAUGACCUUUAGUGUUAUUUUAAAAUUUCUAAACACAUUACGGGCCGGAGAGUAUUAAUGUAUAUUAAAAAUUCUUUUAAGGUAUAUUAAUUCAUCGUUUUAAUUUUUUGUCAUUUUGUAAAACUUCAUAAAACUCCCUAUAUUGGUGGAAAAACAGAAACAACGAAGGUUCCAAACCUCUUUUAUCUUCAUUAUAUGUUAGUGAAUGAUGCAACUAUGCAUUAAAUUAAUAUUUUCAUAUUUUUGAUUUUUUUCAAAAUCGAUGUGUUAUCUAUCUCCUACGAAAAUAUUGAUUUUUUCGUUAAUGUUCUAUAUACUAAAUUGAUCUUUAGUGUUGUUUUAAAAUUUUUAAAUACAUUCUUCAUUUGUAUUAAUGUAUAUUAAACUCUCUUUUUCAUGGUACAUGUGCAUCGUUUUAAUUUUUUUGUCAAUUAAUUUAGUAAAACUUUAUAAUACUCCCUAAAUUGGUGGACUUAACCACUAUAAAAUCGCUAUUUUCUAGAUAAACGUUGACAACAAAAGUUAAAAACCUAUUUGACUUUCAUCAUAUGUUAGUGGAUGAUGCAACUAUGCACUAAAACAAUAUUUUCAUAGUUUUGAAAUUUUCUCAAAAUCUAUGUGUCCCUACGAAAAUAUUAAAUUUUUUCGGUAAAUGUUUUAUAUACUGAAUCCUAUGAUCGUUAUUGUUGUUUUAAAAACUAUAAACACAUUAUACAUUUGUAUUAACGUAUAUUAAACUCUCUUUCAAGGUACAUUGGCAUAAUUUUAAUUUUUUGUCAAUUAAUUUAAUAAAACUUCAUAAUACUCUCUAAAUUGGUUGACUAACCACUAUAAAAUCGCUAUUCUCUAGAAAAACGGAGACAACAGAGGUUCCAAACCUCUUUGAUCUUCAUCAUAUGUUAGUGAAUGAUGCAAUUAUGCAUUAAAACGGUAUUUUCAUAUUUUUGAAUUUUUUUAAAAAAUCUAUGUGUUAACUCCUACGAAAAUAUUGAAUUUUUCGGUAAAUGUUCUAUAUACUGAAGUCUAUGAUCUUUAGUGUUGUUUUAAAAUUUCUAAACACAUUCUCUAUUUGUAUUAAUAUAUAGUAAACUCUCUUUCAAGGUACAUGGGCAUCGUUAAAUUUGUUUGUUAAUUAAUUUAGUAAAACUUCAUAAUACUCCCUAAAUUGGUGGAUUUAACCACUAUAAAAUCGCUAUUUUCUAGAGAAACGGAGACAACAAAAGUUCCAACACUCUUUGACCUUCAUCGUAUGUUAGUGAAUGAUGCAAUUAUGCAUUAAAACAAUAUUUUUCAUAUUUUUGAAUUUUUGUCAAAAUCUAUGUGUUAACCCCUACAAAAAAAUUGAAUUUUUCGGUAAAUUCUAUAUAUACUGAAGCCUAUGAUCUUUAGUGUUGUUUUAAAAUUUCUAAAAACAUUCUACAUCUGUAUUAAUGUAUAUUAAACUCUCUUUCAUGGUACAUGGACAUCGUUUUAAUUUUUUGUCAAUUAAUUUAAUAAAACUUCAUAAUACUUCAUAAAUUGGUGGAUUUAACCACUAUAAAAUCACUAUUUUUUAGAGAAACAGAGACAACAAGAGUUCCAAACCUCUUUGACCUUCAUCAUAUCUUAGUGGAGGAUGCAACUAUGCAUUAAAACAGUAUUUUCAUAUUUUUGAUUUUUUCUCAAAAUCUAUGUGUUAUAACCCCCUACGAAAAUAUUGAGUUUUUCGGUAAAUGCUCUACUUAAGCCUAAAAUAUUUAGUGUUAUUUUAAAAUUUCUGAACACAUUCUACAUUUGAAUUAAUGUAUAUUAAACUCUCUUUCAUGGAACAUGGACAUCGUUUUAAUUUUUUGUCAAUUAAUUUAGUAAAACUUUAUAAUAAUCCCUAAAUUGGUGAACUAACCACUAUAAAAUCGCUAUUUUUAGGGAAACAGAGACAACAAAAGUUCCAAACCUCUUUGACCUUCACCAUAUGUUAGUGAAGGAUGCAACUAUGCAUUAAAACAGUAUUUUUGAAUUUUUGAAUUUUUUUCAAAAUCUAUGUAUUAACCCCUUACGAAAAUAAUGAAUUAUUCGGUAAAUUCUAUAUAUACUGAAGCCUAUGAUCUUUAGAGUUGUUUUAAAAUUUCUAAACACAUUCUACAUUUGUAUUAAUGUAUAUUAAACUCUCUUUCAUGGUACAUGAACUUCGUUUUAAUUUUUUGUCAAUUACUUUAGUAAAACUUCGUAAUAUUCCAAAAAUUGGUGGACUAACCACUAUAAAAUCACUAUUCUCUAGAAAGACGGAGACAACAAAGGUUCCAAACCUCUGUGACCUUCAUCAUAUGUUAGUGAAGGAUGCAACUAUGCAUUAAAACAUAAUUUUCAUAUUUUUGAAUAUUUCUCAAAAUCUAUAUGUUUACCCCUCCGAAAAUAUUGAAGCCUAUGAUCUUUAGUGUUGUUUUAAAAAUUUUAAACACACUCUACAUUUGUAGUAAUGUAUAUUAAACUCUUUUUCAUGGUAUAUGGACAUCGUUUUAAUUUUAUGUCAAUUAAUUUAGAAAAACUUCCUAAUACUCCCUAAAUUGGUGGAUUUAACCUCUAUAAAAUCGCUAUUUUCUAGAGAAACGGAGACAACAAAAGUUCCAAACCUCUUUGACCUUCAUCAUAUGUUAGUGGAUGAUCCAACUAUGCAUUAAAACAGUAUUUUUAUAUUUUUGAUUUUUUCUCAAAAUCUAUGUGUUAACUAACCCCUACGGAAAUAUUGAGUUUUUCGGUAAAUGCUCUACCGAAGCCUAUAAUAUUUAGUGUUGUUUUAAAAUUUUUUAACACAUUCUACAUUUAUAUUAACGUAUAUUAAACUCACUUUCAUGGUAUAUGGACAUCGUUUUAAUUUUCAAUUAAUUUAGUAAAAGUUCAUAAUACUCCCUAAAUUGGUGGAUUUAACCAUGUUUACCCCUCCGAAAAUAUUGAAGCCUAUGAUCUUUAGUGUUGUUUUAAAAAUUUUAAACACACUCUACAUUUGUAGUAAUGUAUAUUAAACUCUUUUUCAUGGUAUAUGGACAUCGUUUUAAUUUUAUGUCAAUUAAUUUAGAAAAACUUCCUAAUACUCCCUAAAUUGGUGGAUUUAACCUCUAUAAAAUCGCUAUUUUCUAGAGAAACGGAGACAACAAAAGUUCCAAACCUCUUUGACCUUCAUCAUAUGUUAGUGGAUGAUCCAACUAUGCAUUAAAACAGUAUUUUUAUAUUUUUGAUUUUUUCUCAAAAUCUAUGUGUUAACUAACCCCUACGGAAAUAUUGAGUUUUUCGGUAAAUGCUCUACCGAAGCCUAUAAUAUUUAGUGUUGUUUUAAAAUUUUUUAACACAUUCUACAUUUAUAUUAACGUAUAUUAAACUCACUUUCAUGGUAUAUGGACAUCGUUUUAAUUUUCAAUUAAUUUAGUAAAAGUUCAUAAUACUCCCUAAAUUGGUGGAUUUAACCACUAUAAAAUCGCUAUUUUCUAGAUAACAAAAGUUCCAAACCUCUUUGACAUUCAUCAUGUGUUAGUGGAUGAAGCAACUAUGCAUUGAAACAAUAUUUUCAUAUUUUUUAUUUUUUCUCAAAAUCUAUGUGAUCCCUACGAAAAUAUUGAAUUUUUCAGUAAAUGCUCUAUAUACUGAAGUUCCAAACCUCUUUGACCUUCAUCAUAUAUGUUAGUGGAGGAUCCAACUAUGCAUUGAAACAAUAUUUUCAUAUUUUUUAAUUUUUCUCAAAAUCUAUGUGUUAACCCCUACGAAAAUAUUGAAUUUUUCGGUAAAUCUAUUAUUAUAAAGAAGAGUUUACUCCCUCCUGGUUGAGACACCUCAUCCGCCACGUCAGAAAAUCAUUCCUCCAGGGACUGACACGUGUCCAGUUCUCUAAACGCACCGUAUCAAUUACUCGGUGGGAUCAUGGGUUUCGACUGCGUGUGCGAUUGCGCCAUUGCAAAACUAUCGUUUCUGAUUUCCUUUCAAGUUCAGUUCUCAUUUCGAGUUAUCAUUUCCUGUUGCAAGUUUUCAGUUUUUUUCGCUGUUUCUACUAGUCAUUUCGAGUUAUCAUUUCCUGUUGCAAGUUUUCAGUUUUUUUCGUUGUUUCUAGUAAUAAUUAUCUUUGUUCUAGAUUUACCUAAUAUAAAUAAAAUAGAUAUAUUUAUUUUGAAAAACAUCAUUAGGACAGACUAUGCAUAUCAAGUUACAUCAUACUGAAAAAGAGAAACAAUUCCUAUAUAUAUAAAACACUGCAUAUUAGAAAGGCUCAAGAUUCGGUGGUGGAGCUCCCGGUUUACAUGGCCGCCGCUGCUGAAGAAGUAAGUCUCGAGAUUCAGAUCUGAUUUUUUUGUUUUAGCGAAAGUCAUUGUCUGAUUUCUAAGAUCUGUGGUGAUUCAGGUGUUAAGAAGCUUGCUGCCAGAGACAACAAGAAGUCGACGAUCAUUCCCAGGCGCUUUUUUUUUUUUUUUGCCGAUUAGGAACUAUGAAGCUUUUACCAAUUUUUUUUUCUUUUUAGAGUAAUUUUGUAUUAUAUAUUUG
RNAcentral lists this long non-coding RNA (5832 nucleotides) under Brassica napus (rape). RNAcentral describes it as "long non-coding RNA (BNAP_LNC014774)". The record is from RNAcentral. Lineage: Eukaryota; Viridiplantae; Streptophyta; Magnoliopsida; Brassicales; Brassicaceae.